AUGUCGGAGCUGGGAGACACCUUAGAACAUAGGAUUUCGGAGUUGAAAGGGACUUUAGAACAUAGGAUGUCGGAGCUCGUAGGGACCCUAGAGCAUAGGAUGUCGGAGUUGGGGGGAACCUUGGGACAUAGAACGUCCGAGCUGGAGGGGACCGUGGAACACCGGAUCUCCGAGCUGGGCUGGACCUUAAAGCACCGCGUGUCGGGGCUGGGGGGGAGCCUAGGACGCCGGCUGUCCCUGCACAGGACGUCGGAGUUGGUAGGAAACCUAGAGUACCGAACGUCCGAGCUGGGAGUCACCUUGCAGUAUAGGAACGUGGAGCUGGGACGGACCCUGGAGUGUCGCCUGUCCGAGCUCAGAGGCACCUUAGGACACCGAGUGUCCGAGCUGGGCGAGGCCGUAGGGCAAGCCGCCGUGCCGGACCUGGGGGGGGCCCUGGAAAUCAUCAUGUCUGAGCUGCGGGACAUCUUGGGACACAGAAUGUCAGAGCUCGAAGGGACCCUAGAACACAAAAUGUCGGAGCUGGAAGGGACCCUAGAACACAGAAUGUCCGAGCUGGGAGGGACCUUAAGACACAGAAUGUCCGAGCUGGGAGGCUCCUUAGGACGCAGAAUGUCCGCGCUCGGAGGGACCCUAGAACACAGAAUGUCUGAGCUUGGAGGGACCCUAGAACACAGAAUGUCCGAGCUGGAAGAGAGCUUAGAACACAGGGUAUCGGAGCUGGAAGAGACCUUAGAACACAGGAUAUCGGAGCUGGGAGCCACCUUAGAGCACAGGAUGUCCGAGCUAGAGGGCCUCUUAGAACACCGGAUGUCCGAGCUGGAAGGGGUCUUGGGACGGAGGAUGUCGGGAUUGGGAGGGACUCUGGGUCGCCGAAUGGCUCAGCUGGGAGCGACCUUAGAGCACAGAAUGUUGGAGCUGGGAGGGACCUUGAGACAGAGGAUGUCCAAGCUGGGGGUGACUUUAGAACAGAGGAUGUCGGAGCUGGGCGGGGCCUUAGAACACAGAAUGGCCGAGCUGGGAGGGACCCUAGAACAUAGAAUGGCCGAGCUGGGAGCCACCUUGGAGCACCGAAUGGCCGAGCUGGGAGCCACCUUAGCACACAGAAUGGUCGAGCUGGGAGGGUCCUUAGAACACAGACUGUCCAAGCUGGGCGGGGGCUUGGGACUUAGAAUGUCCGACCUGGAAGUGACCUUAGAGCAUAGAAUGUCCGAGCUGGAAGUGACCUUAGAGCACAGAAUCUCAGAGCUGGAAGUGACCUUAGCGCACAGGAUGGCCGAGCUGGGAGCCACUUUAGGACACAGGAUGGCCGAGCUGGGAGCCACCUUUGGACACAGAGUGUCCGAGCUGGGAGCAGUCUUGGGGCGAAGAAUGCCAGAGCUGGACGGGACCUUAGGGCACAGGAUGUCGCAGCUGGGAGUGAUCUUGGAGCUUAGAAUGUCACACUGGGAGUGACCUUAGGACGGAGGAUGUCCGAGUUGGGAGUGACUUUGGGAGUCAGAAUGUCCCAUUUGGGGGCGAUCUUAGGACACAGAAUGUUGGGGCUGGGAGGGACCUUAGGCCGGAGGAUGUCCGAGUUGGGAAGGACCUUGGGACAUAAGAUGGCCGAGCUGGGGGUGACCCUGGGAUACAGAAUGUCCGAGCUGGGAGGGACCUUAGGACAUCGGAUGUCUGAGCUCGGGGUGUCCUUAGGGCGCAGAAUAGCAGAGCUGGAAGCCACCUUAGGAUGUAGAAUGUCCGAGCUGAAAUCGACCUUAGAGCACAGAAUGUCCGAGCUGGGAGAGACUUUAGAGCACAGGAUGUCCGAGCUGGGGGGGACCCUAGGACACAGGAUGUCCGAGCUGGGGGGGACCUUAGAACACAGGAUGUCCGAGCUGGGGGGGACCUUAGAACACAGGAUGUUAGAGCGGGGAGGAAUCUCGGGCCAUAGAAUGUCCCAGCUGGGAGGGAGCUUCUGACAACCCAGGUCUGGAGGGGCUGCGGCCACAGCCUCGGUUUCUGGGGGGGGAUCCGGUGGAAGGCUGAGCCUAGUGAGGGGUCCGGUGCGGGGGACAGCCGGCGUUCUCCCCGCCUGGGCGGCCUCGGGCCAGUCCCAACGCUUUCCUCCUCCCCGAAACGCGAGGCUGGCACAUCUCCGCGACCCCCUGGGGCCCCAGCCGUGCGCCUGCGGAGCACGGGGUCUCUGGCGCUCUUCCUCUUCUCAGUGCUUUGCUCUUCCCCCCAGCUUUCUCUCACCCGGCUCAGUCCCACGACCCCUCCCGAAGCCCGCGCCGUCACAGUCAGUGUGCCUUAAGCUUGCGUUCUCAGUGCUGCCAAAGCUGUGGAGUCCUAGCCUUCUUAGUCUGUCUGCCCGCCCCCCCUCAGUCUUAUUCCUACGCCUCCCUGCUGUGCGGAGGCAUUCCUGGGUUUUCAAAGGCAAGGCCAGGCGCCCAAGCAGGGAGCGGCCUGGCGGUUAGGUCUGGCCAAGGAGGCCCGGGCUGGAUUGUCUGGACGGACGGUUGGCCGCUAUCUGGCGGGAGGAUGGACCCUGGAGACGGGGUCUGGACGAACGGAGGAUGGGAUUCUCCGGGGCUGCGUGUGUGUCAUUCUCCCUUACGGGGCUUGUCUUCCUAAAGUCUUAUCUUCCCUUUCCCACAGCUUAAGCAUUUAAAAGCUAAAAGGAUAAAUGAGAAAUGGUGCUGCCCUCAGAAAGCUUGUGUUCUGGUAGGGAGCCAUGACACACCGACCCCCACUGAAGAGAGUCCCAUUCUCCCCUUCGUCCAGGCCCGCAGGCCAGGGGCUGCCUGUUGGGGAAGCUGCUACAGAAAAUAGGGUGGAAGGCAGGGAGGGGUGCUUUCUGGGCUCUGGCUAGCAGAGGUUGAGAGUCUUUGUUUCCAUGUGGGGAAAGGACCUAGCAAGCCUCUGGUAUUGCUGUCAGAGGAGACGAAUGCACUCCACGAGAUUCAGGAACUUCUGACGCUGGGCCUGCAUGGCGUGCUGCUCACUGCCGGGAGUCCUGCCAGAUCAAGUUUUCCUCUUCUCCCUCAGCCUCCCCAAAAAAGAAUCAAGAAGAAAAUAAUAAUGCAGAAGAAAAAGGCUCAGGAACUUAAUAUUCUAGAUCCUGAAAUAAAUGAGGCCACUCAGGAACCUGUUAACUGUACAAACUAUACAGCUCAUGUGUCAUGUUACCCAGCACCCAACGUAACUUGUAAGGACUUCAGCGGCAAUGAAACCCAUUUUACCGGAAGUGAAGUUGGUUUUUUCAAGACCACAUCUUGCCGUAAUGU
Molecule: RNA transcript, 3266 nt
Organism: Antechinus flavipes (yellow-footed antechinus)
Lineage: Eukaryota; Metazoa; Chordata; Mammalia; Dasyuromorphia; Dasyuridae
Gene: TM2D1
Gene name: TM2 domain containing 1
Exons: 3
Source: RefSeq, a predicted model, not a curated record